This 568-nucleotide ribosomal RNA is filed under the name uncultured Actinomycetes bacterium. RNAcentral's name for it is "bacterial SSU rRNA". It matches the Rfam family "Bacterial small subunit ribosomal RNA", at positions 303 to 885 of the family's 1533-position model. Lineage: Bacteria; Bacillati; Actinomycetota; Actinomycetes. The record is from RNAcentral.
AUCAGCCACACUGGGACUGAGACACGGCCCAGACUCCUACGGGAGGCAGCAGUAGGGAAUCUUGCGCAAUGGGCGAAAGCCUGACGCAGCAACGCCGCGUGGGGGAUGAAUGCCUUCGGGUUGUAAACCCCUUUCAGCAGGGACGAAAAUGACGGUACCUGCAGAAGAAGCUCCGGCCAACUACGUGCCAGCAGCCGCGGUAAUACGUAGGGAGCGAGCGUUGUCCGGAAUUAUUGGGCGUAAAGAGCUCGUAGGCGGUUCAGUAAGCCGGGUGUGAAAACUCAAGGCUCAACCUUGAGACGCCACUCGAUACUGCUGUGACUUGAGUCCGGUAGAGGAGUGUGGAAUUCCUGGUGUAGCGGUGAAAUGCGCAGAUAUCAGGAGGAACACCAGCGCCGAAGGCGGCACUCUGGGCCGGUACUGACGCUGAGGAGCGAAAGCAUGGGGAGCAAACAGGAUUAGAUACCCUGGUAGUCCAUGCCGUAAACGUUGGGCACUAGGUAUGGGAUCAUAUCAACGGAUUCCGUGCCGUAGCUAACGCAUUAAGUGCCCCGCCUGGGGAGUACGG